GAUGAACGCUGGCGGCGUGCCUAAUACAUGCAAGUCGAGCGAACAGACGAGGAGCUUGCUCCUCUGACGUUAGCGGCGGACGGGUGAGUAACACGUGGAUAACCUACCUAUCAGACUGGGAUAACUUCGGGAAACCGGAGCUAAUACCGGAUAAUAUAUUGAACCGCAUGGUUCAAUAGUGAAAGACGGUUUUGCUGUCACUUAUAGAUGGAUCCGCGCCGCAUUAGCUAGUUGGUAAGGUAACGGCUUACCAAGGCAACGAUGCGUAGCCGACCUGAGAGGGUGAUAGGCCACACUGGAACUGGGACACGGACCAGGCGCCUACGGGAGGCAGCAGUAGGGAAUCUUCCGCAAUGGGGGGAAGCCUGACGGAGCAGCGCGGCGUGAGAGAUGAAGGUGUUCGGAGCGUAAAACUCUGUUAUUAGGUAAGAACAAAUGUGUAAGUAAAUAUGCACGUAGUGACGGUACCUAAUCAGAAAGCCACGGCUAACUACGUG
RNAcentral lists this ribosomal RNA (497 nucleotides) under uncultured bacterium. Its description in RNAcentral is "partial 16S ribosomal RNA". It matches the Rfam family "Bacterial small subunit ribosomal RNA", at positions 28 to 507 of the family's 1533-position model. The record is from RNAcentral.